GUUAAGCGACUAAGCGUACACGGUGGAUGCCCUGGCAGUCAGAGGCGAUGAAGGACGUGCUAAUCUGCGAUAAGCGUCGGUAAGGUGAUAUGAACCGUUAUAACCGGCGAUUUCCGAAUGGGGAAACCCAGUGUGUUUCGACACACUAUCAUUAACUGAAUCCAUAGGUUAAUGAGGCGAACCGGGGGAACUGAAACAUCUAAGUACCCCGAGGAAAAGAAAUCAACCGAGAUUCCCCCAGUAGCGGCGAGCGAACGGGGAGCAGCCCAGAGCCUGAAUCAGUGUGUGUGUUAGUGGAAGCGUCUGGAAAGGCGCGCGAUACAGGGUGACAGCCCCGUACACAAAAAUGCACAUGCUGUGAGCUCGAUGAGUAGGGCGGGACACGUGGUAUCCUGUCUGAAUAUGGGGGGACCAUCCUCCAAGGCUAAAUACUCCUGACUGACCGAUAGUGAACCAGUACCGUGAGGGAAAGGCGAAAAGAACCCCGGCGAGGGGAGUGAAAAAGAACCUGAAACCGUGUACGUACAAGCAGUGGGAGCACGCUUAGGCGUGUGACUGCGUACCUUUUGUAUAAUGGGUCAGCGACUUAUAUUCUGUAGCAAGGUUAACCGAAUAGGGGAGCCGAAGGGAAACCGAGUCUUAACUGGGCGUUAAGUUGCAGGGUAUAGACCCGAAACCCGGUGAUCUAGCCAUGGGCAGGUUGAAGGUUGGGUAACACUAACUGGAGGACCGAACCGACUAAUGUUGAAAAAUUAGCGGAUGACUUGUGGCUGGGGGUGAAAGGCCAAUCAAACCGGGAGAUAGCUGGUUCUCCCCGAAAGCUAUUUAGGUAGCGCCUCGUGAAUUCAUCUCCGGGGGUAGAGCACUGUUUCGGCAAGGGGGUCAUCCCGACUUACCAACCCGAUGCAAACUGCGAAUACCGGAGAAUGUUAUCACGGGAGACACACGGCGGGUGCUAACGUCCGUCGUGAAGAGGGAAACAACCCAGACCGCCAGCUAAGGUCCCAAAGUCAUGGUUAAGUGGGAAACGAUGUGGGAAGGCCCAGACAGCCAGGAUGUUGGCUUAGAAGCAGCCAUCAUUUAAAGAAAGCGUAAUAGCUCACUGGUCGAGUCGGCCUGCGCGGAAGAUGUAACGGGGCUAAACCAUGCACCGAAGCUGCGGCAGCGACACUAUGUGUUGUUGGGUAGGGGAGCGUUCUGUAAGCCUGCGAAGGUGUGCUGUGAGGCAUGCUGGAGGUAUCAGAAGUGCGAAUGCUGACAUAAGUAACGAUAAAGCGGGUGAAAAGCCCGCUCGCCGGAAGACCAAGGGUUCCUGUCCAACGUUAAUCGGGGCAGGGUGAGUCGACCCCUAAGGCGAGGCCGAAAGGCGUAGUCGAUGGGAAACAGGUUAAUAUUCCUGUACUUGGUGUUACUGCGAAGGGGGGACGGAGAAGGCUAUGUUGGCCGGGCGACGGUUGUCCCGGUUUAAGCGUGUAGGCUGGUUUUCCAGGCAAAUCCGGAAAAUCAAGGCUGAGGCGUGAUGACGAGGCACUACGGUGCUGAAGCAACAAAUGCCCUGCUUCCAGGAAAAGCCUCUAAGCAUCAGGUAACAUCAAAUCGUACCCCAAACCGACACAGGUGGUCAGGUAGAGAAUACCAAGGCGCUUGAGAGAACUCGGGUGAAGGAACUAGGCAAAAUGGUGCCGUAACUUCGGGAGAAGGCACGCUGAUAUGUAGGUGAAGUCCCUCGCGGAUGGAGCUGAAAUCAGUCGAAGAUACCAGCUGGCUGCAACUGUUUAUUAAAAACACAGCACUGUGCAAACACGAAAGUGGACGUAUACGGUGUGACGCCUGCCCGGUGCCGGAAGGUUAAUUGAUGGGGUUAGCCGCAAGGCGAAGCUCUUGAUCGAAGCCCCGGUAAACGGCGGCCGUAACUAUAACGGUCCUAAGGUAGCGAAAUUCCUUGUCGGGUAAGUUCCGACCUGCACGAAUGGCGUAAUGAUGGCCAGGCUGUCUCCACCCGAGACUCAGUGAAAUUGAACUCGCUGUGAAGAUGCAGUGUACCCGCGGCAAGACGGAAAGACCCCGUGAACCUUUACUAUAGCUUGACACUGAACAUUGAGCCUUGAUGUGUAGGAUAGGUGGGAGGCUUUGAAGUGUGGACGCCAGUCUGCAUGGAGCCGACCUUGAAAUACCACCCUUUAAUGUUUGAUGUUCUAACGUUGACCCGUAAUCCGGGUUGCGGACAGUGUCUGGUGGGUAGUUUGACUGGGGCGGUCUCCUCCUAAAGAGUAACGGAGGAGCACGAAGGUUGGCUAAUCCUGGUCGGACAUCAGGAGGUUAGUGCAAUGGCAUAAGCCAGCUUGACUGCGAGCGUGACGGCGCGAGCAGGUGCGAAAGCAGGUCAUAGUGAUCCGGUGGUUCUGAAUGGAAGGGCCAUCGCUCAACGGAUAAAAGGUACUCCGGGGAUAACAGGCUGAUACCGCCCAAGAGUUCAUAUCGACGGCGGUGUUUGGCACCUCGAUGUCGGCUCAUCACAUCCUGGGGCUGAAGUAGGUCCCAAGGGUAUGGCUGUUCGCCAUUUAAAGUGGUACGCGAGCUGGGUUUAGAACGUCGUGAGACAGUUCGGUCCCUAUCUGCCGUGGGCGCUGGAGAACUGAGGGGGGCUGCUCCUAGUACGAGAGGACCGGAGUGGACGCAUCACUGGUGUUCGGGUUGUCAUGCCAAUGGCACUGCCCGGUAGCUAAAUGCGGAAGAGAUAAGUGCUGAAAGCAUCUAAGCACGAAACUUGCC
Molecule: ribosomal RNA, 2772 nt
Filed under: Escherichia coli
Lineage: Bacteria; Pseudomonadati; Pseudomonadota; Gammaproteobacteria; Enterobacterales; Enterobacteriaceae
Description: partial 23S ribosomal RNA
Rfam family: Bacterial large subunit ribosomal RNA
Source: RNAcentral